Molecule: RNase P RNA, 258 nt
Filed under: Planktothrix pseudagardhii No980
Lineage: Bacteria; Bacillati; Cyanobacteriota; Cyanophyceae; Oscillatoriales; Microcoleaceae
Description: partial ribonuclease P RNA
Rfam family: Bacterial RNase P class A
About the family: Ribonuclease P (RNase P) is a ubiquitous endoribonuclease, found in archaea, bacteria and eukarya as well as chloroplasts and mitochondria.
Source: RNAcentral
GAGGAUAGUGCCACAGAAACAUACCGCCUGUUUUAGUAACAACUAAAGUGGGUAAGGGUGCAAAGGUGCGGUAAGAGCGCACCAGCAACGUCGUGAGGCGUUGGCUCGGUAAACCCCGGUUGGGAGCAAGGUCGGAGGAACUAAGGUUGGUCUUUUUCCCGUUCCGUUCAAAAGUGGUACCGCUAGAGGUGUCUGGUGACAGGCAUCCCAGAUAGAUAAUCGCCAUCUUGGGUUGAUUUCAACCCGGAUAACAGAACC